Molecule: ribosomal RNA, 429 nt
Filed under: Chloroflexota bacterium
Lineage: Bacteria; Bacillati; Chloroflexota
Description: Chloroflexi bacterium partial 16S ribosomal RNA
Rfam family: Bacterial small subunit ribosomal RNA
Source: RNAcentral
UGGGGAAUAUUGCACAAUGGGCGCAAGCCUGAUGCAGCCAUGCCGCGUGUAUGAAGAAGGCCUUCGGGUUGUAAAGUACUUUCAGUCGGGAGGAAGGUGUCAAGGUUAAUAACCUUGGCAAUUGACGUUACCGACAGAAGAAGCACCGGCUAACUCCGUGCCAGCAGCCGCGGUAAUACGGAGGGUGCAAGCGUUAAUCGGAAUUACUGGGCGUAAAGCGUACGCAGGCGGUUGAUUGAGUCAGAUGUGAAAUCCCCGGGCUUAACCCGGGAAUUGCAUCUGAUACUGGUCAGCUAGAGUCUUGUAGAGGGGGGUAGAAUUCCAUGUGUAGCGGUGAAAUGCGUAGAGAUGUGGAGGAAUACCGGUGGCGAAGGCGGCCCCCUGGACAAAGACUGACGCUCAGGUGCGAAAGCGUGGGGAGCAAACAGG